This 430-nucleotide ribosomal RNA is filed under the name Scaphocalanus echinatus. Its description in RNAcentral is "partial 12S ribosomal RNA". Lineage: Eukaryota; Metazoa; Arthropoda; Copepoda; Calanoida; Scolecitrichidae. The record is from RNAcentral.
AUAAAUAAAAUUUUUUGAUUUAGUAUAAAAAAAUUUUUUUCUGGGUUGUGAUUAAAAAAAAAAUUUUUUUCUAUUUUUGGGUUUAAGGGUAAAAAAAACUGGGGUUAGACACCUACUAUGUAUCACUUAAAUUAAUUGAGGUAUUAAAAGAUAAAGUCUUUAAACUUAAAAAACAUGGCAGUAUUUUACCCCCUGCAGAGGAAUUUGAAUAUUUAAAUGAUAGUCCUCAUUAAUUUUAACUUUAAUUUAUUUUGUGUGUGGUUGUUAAAAUAAAUAUUUAAUUAUGCGUUGUAAAUCAGAUUACAUGUAGAGAUAUUUAAGAAUAUUUUAAUUACAAAUUAUUAUAAUUAUAGGAUUUGCAUGUAAUAAAAUAUUAAAUAUUUUUAUGGUGAGGUUAUAAAAUGUGUACAUAUUGUCCGUCACUCUCUCU